This 183-nucleotide unclassified non-coding RNA is filed under the name soil metagenome. RNAcentral's name for it is "partial contains 5.8S ribosomal RNA, internal transcribed spacer 2, and large subunit ribosomal RNA". The record is from RNAcentral.
AAGACUAUAGACCUGCGGAGUACCUGCGGAGGGAUCAUUACUGAAUGGCCUUUUUGGCCUUCAAACCCUCAAACCUGUGGAAGAGAAAACGUGUUUCGGCGCCCAUGGGCGCCGCCCUUAAUGCAAAUGUCAGUCUUGUGUCUGAAAUAAAUUAAAGGUUAAAACUUUCAACAACGGAUCUCU